GGUAUUCGUACUAUGCUAUAUAGAAUGAGCAAAUACUGUUUACUAAUAUCUUCUACAAGUUUCACUAAUAUAUUCUGGACGUUUUGCAUACGACAAAAU
This is a long non-coding RNA of Bombus impatiens (common eastern bumble bee), 99 nucleotides long. RefSeq lists it as uncharacterized. The record is from RefSeq and is a predicted model, not a curated record. The transcript has 3 exons. NCBI's taxonomy places the organism in Eukaryota, Metazoa, Arthropoda, Insecta, Hymenoptera, Apidae.